GACGAACGCUUGCGGCGUGCUUAACACGUGCAAGUCGAACGGAAAGGCCCUGCUUUUGUGGGGUGCUCGAGUGGCGAACGGGUGAGUAACACGUGAGUAACCUGCCCUUGACUUUGGGAUAACUUCAGGAAACUGGGGCUAAUACCGGAUAGGAGCUCCUGCUGCAUGGUGGGGGUUGGAAAGUUUCGGCGGUUGGGGAUGGACUCGCGGCUUAUCAGCUUGUUGGUGGGGUAGUGGCUUACCAAGGCUUUGACGGGUAGCCGGCCUGAGAGGGUGACCGGCCACAUUGGGACUGAGAUACGGCCCAGACUCCUACGGGAGGCAGCAGUGGGGAAUAUUGCACAAUGGGCGGAAGCCUGAUGCAGCAACGCCGCGUGCGGGAUGACGGCCUUCGGGUUGUAAACCGCUUUCGCCUGUGACGAAGCGUGAGUGACGGUAAUGGGUAAAGAAGCACCGGCUAACUACGUGCCAGCAGCCGCGGUGAUACGUAGGGUGCGAGCGUUGUCCGGAUUUAUUGGGCGUAGAGGGCUCGUAGGUGGUUGAUCGCGUCGGAAGUGUAAUCUUGGGGCUUAACCCUGAGCGUGCUUUCGAUACGGGUUGACUUGAGGAAGGUAGGGGAGAAUGGAAUUCCUGGUGGAGCGGUGGAAUGCGCAGAUAUCAGGAGGAACACCAGUGGCGAAGGCGGUUCUCUGGGCCUUUCCUGACGCUGAGGAGCGAAAGCGUGGGGAGCGAACAGGCUUAGAUACCCUGGUAGUCCACGCUGUAAACGGUGGGUACUAGGUGUGGGGUCCAUUCCACGGGUUCCGUGCCGUAGCUAACGCUUUAAGUACCCCGCCUGGGGAGUACGGCCGCAAGGCUAAAACUCAAAGGAAUUGACGGGGCCCCGCACAAGCGGCGGAGCAUGCGGAUUAAUUCGAUGCAACGCGUAGAACCUUACCUGGGUUUGACAUGGAUCGGGAGUGCUCAGAGAUGGGUGUGCCUCUUUUGGGGUCGGUUCACAGGUGGUGCAUGGCUGUCGUCAGCUCGUGUCGUGAGAUGUUGGGUUAAGUCCCGCAACGAGCGCAACCCUUGUUCACUGUUGCCAGCACGUUAUGGUGGGGACUCAGUGGAGACCGCCGGGGUCAACUCGGAGGAAGGUGGGGAUGACGUCAAGUCAUCAUGCCCCUUAUGUCCAGGGCUUCACGCAUGCUACAAUGGCUGGUACAGAGAGUGGCGAGCCUGUGAGGGUGAGCGAAUCUCGGAAAGCCGGUCUCAGUUCGGAUUGGGGUCUGCAACUCGACCUCAUGAAGUCGGAGUCGCUAGUAAUCGCAGAUCAGCAACGCUGCGGUGAAUACGUUCCCGGGGCU
Molecule: ribosomal RNA, 1346 nt
Filed under: uncultured bacterium
Lineage: Bacteria
Description: bacterial SSU rRNA
Rfam family: Bacterial small subunit ribosomal RNA
Source: RNAcentral